This 438-nucleotide ribosomal RNA is filed under the name uncultured bacterium. RNAcentral describes it as "bacterial SSU rRNA". It matches the Rfam family "Bacterial small subunit ribosomal RNA", at positions 954 to 1392 of the family's 1533-position model. The record is from RNAcentral.
GCUAAACGCGAAGAACCUUACCUAGGCUUGACAUGCAUCUCUAAGCGCGUGAAAGCGCGUGACCCUUCGGGGGAUUUGCACAGGUGCUGCAUGGCCGUCGUCAGCUCGUGUCGUGAGAUGUUGGGUUAAGUCCCGCAACGAGCGCAACCCUUGUGAUUAGUUGCCAGCACGUCAUGGUGGGAACUCUAAUCAGACUGCCCAGAUCAACUGGGAGGAAGGUGGGGACGACGUCAGGUCAGUAUGGCCCUUACGCCUAGGGCUGCACACGUACUACAAUGCCCAGUACAAUGAGAACCGAGACCGCGAGGUGGAGGAAAUCUACAAAACUGGGCCCAGUUCGAAUUGGAGGCUGCAACUCGCCUCCAUGAAGCCGGAAUCGCUAGUAAUGGCACAUCAGCUACGGUGCCGUGAAUACGUUCCCGGGUCUUGUACACACCG